This 253-nucleotide ribosomal RNA is filed under the name uncultured bacterium. RNAcentral's name for it is "partial 16S ribosomal RNA". It matches the Rfam family "Bacterial small subunit ribosomal RNA", at positions 524 to 776 of the family's 1533-position model. The record is from RNAcentral.
UACGUAGGGACCAAGCGUUGUUCGGAUUUACUGGGCGUAAGGGGCGCGUAGGCGGCGCGGUAAGUCACUUGUGAAAUCUCUGAGCUUAACUCAGAACGGCCAAGUGAUACUGCAGUGCUAGAGUGUGGAAGGGGCAAUCGGAAUUCUUGGUGUAGCGGUGAAAUGCGUAGAUAUCAAGAGGAACACCUGAGGUGAGGACGGGUUGCUGGGCCAACACUGACGCUGAGGCGCGAAAGCCAGGGGAGCAAACGGG